This 466-nucleotide ribosomal RNA is filed under the name uncultured bacterium. Its description in RNAcentral is "partial 16S ribosomal RNA". It matches the Rfam family "Bacterial small subunit ribosomal RNA", at positions 28 to 507 of the family's 1533-position model. The record is from RNAcentral.
GACGAACGCUGGCGGCGUGCUUAACACAUGCAAGUCGAACGGAAAGGCCCAGCUUGCUGGGUACUCGAGUGGCGAACGGGUGAGUAACACGUGGGUGAUCUGCCCCUUACUUUGGGAUAAGCCUGGGAAACUGGGUCUAAUACCGGAUAUGACCUUACAUCGCAUGGUGUUUGGUGGAAAGCUUUUGCGGUUGGGGAUGGGCCCGCGGCCUAUCAGCUUGUUGGUGGGGUAAUGGCCUACCAAGGCGACGACGGGUAGCCGACCUGAGAGGGUGAUCGGCCACACUGGGACUGAGAGACGGCCCAGACUCCUACGGGAGGCAGCAGUGGGGAAUAUUGCACAAUGGGCGCAAGCCUGAUGCAGCGACGCCGCGUGAGGGAUGACGGCCUUCGGGUUGUAAACCUCUUUCGCCAGGGACGAAGCGUGAGUGACGGUACCUGGAGAAGAAGCACCGGCCAACUACGUG